This 494-nucleotide ribosomal RNA is filed under the name uncultured bacterium. RNAcentral's name for it is "partial 16S ribosomal RNA". It matches the Rfam family "Bacterial small subunit ribosomal RNA", at positions 28 to 507 of the family's 1533-position model. The record is from RNAcentral.
GACGAACGCUGGCGGCGUGCUUAACACAUGCAAGUCGAACGGUGAAGCGCCUUCCUUUUUGGUGGGUGUGGAUGAGUGGCGAACGGGUGAGUAACACGUGAGUAACCUGCCCCCUUCUUCUGGAUAACCGCAUGAAAGUGUGGCUAAUACGGGAUAUUCUGGGUCUGUCGCAUGAUGGGUCUGGGAAAGAUAUUGUUUCGGUGGGGGAUGGGCUCGCGGCUUAUCAGCUUGUUGGUGGGGUGAUGGCCUACCAAGGCGGUGACGGGUAGCCGGCCUGAGAGGGUGGACGGUCAUACUGGGACUGAGACACGGCCCAGACUCCGACGGGCGGCAGCAGUGGGGAAUAUUGAACAAUGGGCGCAAGCCUGAUGCAGCGACGCCGCGGGAGGGAUGGAGGCCUUCGGGUUGUGAACCUCUUUCGCCAGUGAAGCAGGCCUGCCGCGUUUGUGGGUGGGUUGACGGUAGCUAGACAAGAAGCGCCGGCUAACUACGUG